AGAAAAUGAUACUGAGUAAAACCUCCGUGGCAGAAAUGUGGUGACACGUCGACAUUGUCGCAGAACGGUACAGUGUUCUUGCAGAAAGAUUUUUCUUUUGAGAAUUGCUGACACAGCUGUAAUGAGACAGUAAAGAGGACUAGUACUUCACUUAACCAUGGGACAGAGGAUUCUGCCUGCACAAGAAAGAA
This is a non-coding RNA of Parasteatoda tepidariorum (common house spider), 191 nucleotides long. NCBI's taxonomy places the organism in Eukaryota, Metazoa, Arthropoda, Arachnida, Araneae, Theridiidae. The record is from RefSeq and is a predicted model, not a curated record.